ANUAAAANUCGUAACAAGGUUUCCGUAGGUGAACCUGCGGAAGGAUCAUUA
RNAcentral lists this ribosomal RNA (51 nucleotides) under Omphalina pyxidata. RNAcentral describes it as "partial small subunit ribosomal RNA". It matches the Rfam family "Eukaryotic small subunit ribosomal RNA", at positions 1781 to 1831 of the family's 1831-position model. Lineage: Eukaryota; Fungi; Basidiomycota; Agaricomycetes; Agaricales; Omphalinaceae. The record is from RNAcentral.